This 233-nucleotide ribosomal RNA is filed under the name uncultured bacterium. RNAcentral's name for it is "partial 16S ribosomal RNA". It matches the Rfam family "Bacterial small subunit ribosomal RNA", at positions 99 to 334 of the family's 1533-position model. The record is from RNAcentral.
CGGACGGGUGAGUAAUGUCUGGGAAACUGCCUGAUGGAGGGGGAUAACUACUGGAAACGGUAGCUAAUACCGCAUAACGUCGCAAGACCGAAAGAGGGGGACCUUCGGGCCUCUUGCCAUCGGAUGUGCCCAGAUGGGAUUAGCUAGUGGGUGGGGUAACGGCUCACCUAGGCGACGAUCCCUAGCUGGUCUGAGAGGAUGACCAGCCACACUGGAACUGAGACACGGUCCAG